Long non-coding RNA from Hemicordylus capensis (graceful crag lizard), 1259 nucleotides. RefSeq lists it as uncharacterized. The record is from RefSeq and is a predicted model, not a curated record. The transcript is spliced from 2 exons. NCBI's taxonomy places the organism in Eukaryota, Metazoa, Chordata, Lepidosauria, Squamata, Cordylidae.
CGUUGUACGAUGUGGGGAGGGGGGGGGCAGAGAGAUGUCCCAGCCUCGCUCGGUUUCAACAGAGUAUUCCUCUGUCCUGGUGUAAGGUCCUGCCAGGGCCUUUGAAUCGGGGUUAUAUAUUUUAAUAUUUUGGACUAUGGGGAAGGACAGCGAGCUUCAGCUCUGAUGGCGUUCUUUUCGUGACAUGUGGCGAAGACGAUAAACUCAGAGGGAUCUUCAACAUAAAGACGGACAAAGCUGCCGCCUGCUGAGUCAGACUCUGAGUCCCUCUAGCUCAGUAUCGUCCACACACACUGACUGGCAGCCGCUCUCCAGAUUUCAGAGACGGGUCUUUCCCAGCUGGUGGAGACGCCGGGGACUGAACCUGGGCCUUUCAGCUUGCCAGACUGGUGCAGCUCCGCCACUGAGCACCGCCUUCCUUCUCCGAUUUCUUGGGCUCCACUGAACGGCACAAGGCACGAGGUCCUGCAGUUUUCUCCCUCUCGCCUUCUCCUUCCCUCCUGAGCCUACAUACUUCUUCAUAUGCCCAUAUGGAGUCGGCCGGCGUUAUGGAAUGUUAAGAAGUAUGUAUUGUUGGGACGGAAUCCCUGCCUGGAAUGGAAACGUCGGCCUUCCAUCUGUGCUUCAAGAAGAAGGAACUACUCCAGCUGAUGAGAUAAAAAGGGCCGCAGCUCUUCAAGGGAGACAAAGGAUGCUUUUUGUGCCCCUGGGGCUGGUCAAAAGGAACCAGAUCGACUGGCAACUGGAUUUGGUCCCCUUCAACCAGCUGUAGUAGCACAUGUAGCCGUCUGCAUAUCCGUCCGGCUUAACAAAGUCUCCAAUAAAUAUUACUUAAGUGCAGAAAAAUCCCAACCCAGGCCAGAUUAUUAUCUGCUGAAAUCCUGAAAGGCCCCAUAGCAUUAGCCCCCAAAAUUAUUCUAACAAGAAGGACAAUGAAAAUGGAAAUAACUAGUAGGUGAGGGCUGUCGUUGAUCAAGGGAAGUCAUUUUGCGGUUGUUUUUUUAAAAAAGUUUUUUACAGCUUUCUCUUAGCAUAUGCCAGUGUAAAAAGUAGUGCAUUCAGCUACUUUAAGCAGCAGGAUUGUCUAUGCAAAAUUUGGUGUCUGUAAGUAAUUGGGAAGUGUGGCUUUAUUUUGCACAAACAAACCCUUCAAAAUAUAGAAUAGAUACAAUUUUUAUAUACAGUAUGUAAGACUUUUUAAAAUUAAUGUGCUUGCAAAAGGGAAAUAAAAGAACAAUUUGAAAUUUGUAGGAUGUCAA